GGCGGACGGGUGAGUAACGCGUAGGAACCUACCUGGUAGCGGGGGGACAACCUGGUGAAAACCAGGCUAAUACCGCAUACGCCCUACGGGGGAAAGCAGGGGAUCUUCGGACCUUGCACUAUCAGAUGGGCCUGCGUCGGAUUAGCUAGUUGGUGAGGUAAUGGCUCACCAAGGCGACGAUCCGUAGCUGGUUUGAGAGAAUGAUCAGCCACACUGGGACUGAGACACGGCCCAG
RNAcentral lists this ribosomal RNA (235 nucleotides) under uncultured bacterium. RNAcentral's name for it is "partial 16S ribosomal RNA". It matches the Rfam family "Bacterial small subunit ribosomal RNA", at positions 97 to 334 of the family's 1533-position model. The record is from RNAcentral.